GGGGAAUAUUGGACAAUGGGCGCAAGCCUGAUCCAGCCAUGCCGCGUGAGUGAUGAAGGCCCUAGGGUUGUAAAGCUCUUUCGGCGGGGACGAUAAUGACGGUACCCGCAGAAGAAGCCCCGGCUAACUUCGUGCCAGCAGCCGCGGUAAUACGAAGGGGGCUAGCGUUGUUCGGAAUCACUGGGCGUAAAGCGCACGUAGGCGGAUUGUUAAGUCGGGGGUGAAAUCCCGAGGCUCAACCUCGGAACUGCCUUCGAUACUGGCAAUCUUCGAGUCCGGAAGAGGUGAGUGGAACUCCGAGUGUAGAGGUGAAAUUCGUAGAUAUUCGGAAGAACACCAGUGGCGAAGGCGACUCACUGGUCCGGUACUGACGCUGAGGUGCGAAAGCGUGGGGAGCAAAC
This 401-nucleotide ribosomal RNA is filed under the name uncultured bacterium. RNAcentral's name for it is "bacterial SSU rRNA". It matches the Rfam family "Bacterial small subunit ribosomal RNA", at positions 356 to 773 of the family's 1533-position model. The record is from RNAcentral.